UGGCAGCAGACGGCUGUGUUCUGCGUCCGGGGCGAAGGCCAGGCGGGCGGUGGCUAGCCCUGAUGGCGCCGGGGUCGCACCGCGGCACCGUAGCCGCUUAGUGUCCGUCCAUCCGACCGAUUACCGGUGUCAAGUAUCACCGAGAUGUGUCAGACCCAGAUCCCCAGGGUUCUCCUGGGAUUCCUGGAGCCUCUGGGGACAGUCCUGUGGCAGAGGGGUCCAAGUUCCAGAAGGCUGUGAUCACAUCAGCCACAGGUAGAUGGACAUCCUACCUGGCUGUAGCCCUCAGAAUCAAGGUAGCUUAGGAAAGCACAAGACUGGGACACCAGGCCCAAGUCCUGCCAAUGCCUCUAUGGGCAGUCACAGCCCUUCCUAGAGCUCUGGUGGCUGCUUCUGCCUGCUUCUUGAAGGGGACAUGGAGAAGACAGAGCACUAUUCCCUC
RNAcentral lists this long non-coding RNA (442 nucleotides) under Heterocephalus glaber (naked mole-rat). RNAcentral's name for it is "lncRNA (ENSHGLG00100036967.1)". Lineage: Eukaryota; Metazoa; Chordata; Mammalia; Rodentia; Bathyergidae. The record is from RNAcentral.